GCUGCUUUCGCUUCUCUUCCUCCUUCUGUUGCCUCUCCCAGCCACUGGAACUUCCUCAAAUACGCCCUUAUCGGGGAUCUCACCGAAGGCACUGCCUUUGCCAGCUACGACUGUUAUGGUUUGUUUUCCUUUGUUUCCAUUUUAUUAUUCAUUUCCAUUUAGGGUUGAUCGAUCGAAUCAAGUGACAUUUAUGUGCUUUUUUAUCCUUUAAUUUGGUGUUGUCACUUUGAUAUGUUAAGGUUGUUAUCAAAUCAUUUUGAUCUGGAAAUGAUGUUAGUUGAAGACUUUUUUUUUGUUGUUGGAAUGAAAUAUGCAACUUACAGCUUAGAAAAAAUAGAACAGAAAACGAGGUCGCUCCAUGAAUCGACCAAGUACACGACUGGUGAUAAAGCCACUGCUCUUGAUAAUCAUAUUGGCCGAAGUAGGAGGUGUAGCAGGAGCUAUGAAUGAAGUGGAUAGGUGUAGGUAAGCCAACACUUUAUACACGGAUACAGAGAACAUUCAUGCAGAGAAAAUUGUGAGUAACUAUGUUCUAAACUACUAAUAAUUUGGAAAGUGGCAACAUUUAGUAAAUUUUCAUCUUUCCUAUAGGAGUGUGCUUAGUUGAGCCUGAAAAAAAGUGAGUGGUGGAUAAGAUGAAAAUAAAUUCUCUUUAUACUUGCUUGCGCAACCAAAGCAUGAGAAGGUAGACAAUAAUAUCUACUUCAUUUUUAAUUGUUGGUUGAAAUUUCAACUUGUACUCUCCUUUCCAGGUUUUGACUUUCCAUCUAUUCAACCUCACACUUUACUUUACAUAUUUUUUAUAGCAGAAAUUGAUGAUACUAUGAUUCAAAGUUGAAAUCAUAAAUUUGACAGUGAAAUAACCAUGUCGCAAUAAAUUCUAUGAAUUUGCAAGUAACAAAUGAGUAUUUUGUGGUAGAAGGGUUAAUGAAUAUUGUAUUUGAUAGUUUACCCUUUGAAUAAUUUUGCAGUGAAAGUGAUACUUAGAGGCGUGGAGAGAGGAAAAAUAUUCCCCGGAGGGUCGUUUAUAGAUGCUCAUCACCUCUUAUAGAUUUAUUUACUUUAAAAUAAACUAAUUGUAGAACAUUUUUAUCUCAUAGGGGGAGGGAAUUAUAAUAUUACAAAACACAAGGGAAAUAAUUUAUUGUUUGUUUAUACAUUGGUAAAAUAGCAGGAGCGUGAAGUCAUUUCUAAAUUUAUUAAGAGAACUAUGGUUGUGAUUUUAAGUUUUUGGCAUUAAUUUGAUUUUGUUAACUUAUGGUUUUAUGAUUAUGUCUUUCAAAACCUUUUGAUUUUUAAUUUUAAGGUUUUGGUAAUUUGCUGCAAAAGUUUUUUUUUUAUGAACUUGUGUGAUCUAAAUUACUAUUCUGUGUUUCAUUUUGUUAGUACAAGUUUUGUUAAGUGUGUUCUAAUUUGUUUCAAUAUUUUUGGUUUUGUGCUUUACCUAUUUGGUGCCCAGGCUGUCAUAAUUGAAGAAAAUAAUGCCACGAAACAUAUGGGUAUAGAGUUAUAUCAAAUUUCUUGUUUCUUACAUUUCCUAAUUCUAAAGCUUUAGUGCCUCUAAAACAAAUGGCUUAUGAACAUAUAUGACGCAUGUAGCCACUGGUGCGAAUAUGCAAAUAUUCCCUCCCAACAAUGGAGGAGACAGAGGAUUGGGAUAUCAUCCUCUUGGCAGUCCUAUUGGUAUAUUUUCCAAUUUUUGUGACUUUGAGAAUUGAGAUAGUUGUUUCUUUUUCUAAUUUUCUCUCUUCUCUCUCUCCCCCCUCUCUCUUUAAAUGAUUUAACAAUAUAUUGGUUUUUUCCUAGUGAUGUGAGUACAUGACAGUGCGACACUAAUCAAUAUAUUUUGUAGUGAAUUCAUGACUUGCUGGAGGAGAUUUGUUUUUUCUUUUAGUUGUAGCUAUCUUAGAACUAACCAAUUUAACUAGAGCUUUCAAGCAAUUUUUUUCUCCCUUUUUUUGCCCUCGUUUUCCUUUGAUUUUAUUCUUCAUGUUAAAGUCUUCAUAUAAAACUGACAAAAGGUUAUUGAGAAGGUUCUUGGUUUUACUUUGUCAGUGAGUUUCCUGGAUUUUUAGGAGGUACUUGUACAUGUGUUGAUCAAGGAGGUUGUAUGCGCUCUGAUAAGGGCCCUUGGAAGGAUGUAGAAAUUAUGAGGGUAGGCCUACAAUCCAUUUUAUUUUUCGUUUUUUCCCCUUGCUUCUCUCAACUUAGAACUUUAGUUGAUAAUUCAUGUACCAUGUAUGGAUUCGAAUCCCUAAACUUAUUGUUAUGCAAAUGCAGAUGGUUUAGAAUGGUGAUCUUAAAUGUUCAAAAAAAAAGUGUUACAAGGCGAGGAAGAGAAAGAAAAUUCUGAGGUGAGAUAGCUCAUUCUAAGCUCUUUGAUAAUACAUUUCGUUUUCAUUUAGUUGUGCCUCUUCAAAUGCUAUUGCUUUUAGCAUAUCAUUUUGAUAUUCUAGAGACUAUUAAUGCUUUCUGUCAUUUAUGAAAUUUUGGACUAAUAAAUGGGCAUAAUGUCGAGGAACACAAGACUUCCAAAUUGGAGGCAAAUCACACCCCCGAGCUUGCUCAAGUUGUUGUAGAGAAAUAUGGCGACGACAAUACACAUGACAAGUAUUGCCCUACGACGUUGUUCGAUGACGGCGACGUCUCUGAUGAAGGAUGUACUCAACAUGGUGGACCAACUCAGAGUAGACUCGAUCCGCGUUGAGUGGCAGCGAUUCAUGGCCGGCGAGUCGGAAUACGAGGGAGAAGGAAGGUUCGGAGGUGAGUUGUUGAUGUGGCCAUCCAACGAUUCACGUUCGUGGCGGGAAUCCGAGGGCUGUGAGAAAGUGAUGGUACAGCGAAUGAGGCGUAGCUCGAAGCCGCAGAUGCCGAUGAUGUCGAGUUCAAGGCUACACAUUGCUCUGGACUCUUAUUGAAGGAAACCCCCUUGUUUGUGCUACAGAAAAAGAAAAAAAUUGCCAUGGGAUGAAACUUAUGCCUAUGUCAAUGAACUUGAACGAUACUGAGGAUGCUUUGCCAUCAGGCAGAAAAAAG
Molecule: long non-coding RNA, 3036 nt
Organism: Glycine soja
Lineage: Eukaryota; Viridiplantae; Streptophyta; Magnoliopsida; Fabales; Fabaceae
Exons: 5
Source: RefSeq, a predicted model, not a curated record